Papaver somniferum (opium poppy) is the source of this 2132-nucleotide RNA transcript. RefSeq lists it as uncharacterized. Lineage: Eukaryota; Viridiplantae; Streptophyta; Magnoliopsida; Ranunculales; Papaveraceae. The transcript is spliced from 3 exons. The record is from RefSeq and is a predicted model, not a curated record.
ACUCCGGAGCCUUUUUGACAAGUACUCAACCAAUCUUCCUUCUUCUGGUGGUUUUUGGGGUUGCAAUGUUUCGAUCUUUGUUGUGUAAAUCAGGGGGGAUUCUGAGAAGGACGACCGGCAUCAUCAAUGGAGAAUCUUCUUCUUCAACAUUAUUAGCAGCUAAGUAUUUUCUCUUUACACAACAAAAUCAAAAUGUUUUUGUAAUUUCAAAAUCUAGGGUUACUUCCAUCUUUAAUUCCUUCUAUACUACUAGUAAUAAUGGUAAUAGCAAUGUUACUUCUAGCGAUUUUGAGUCUGAUUCUUCACAUGUGGUUUCUUAUCUGAUUAGUUCAUGUGGAUUAUCACAAACUGAAGCAAUUAUUGCUUCUAAAAAAAUCAAAUUCAAAACCACAACCAAACCAGAUUCAGUCUUAACCCUACUUAAGACUUACGGAUUUACUGAAUCCCACAUUUCUAAAUUAAUCACUAAGCAUCCAUCCAUCCUCUUGUCAAAACCAGAUAAAACCCUUAAACCCAAACUUGAUUUCUUCAGAUCAAAAGGGCUUUAUGAAAUUGAGCUUGCCAAUUUCAUCUCAACUGUCCCUGGAUUACUGAUGGAAAGCUUAAAUAAAAAAAUAAUUCCUUCCUUUGAUAAACUUAGGAGCCUUGUUCAGUAUGAUGAAAGCGUCAUUAAAAUGAUUCCAAGAAAUUCUUGGAUUCUCAGGGAAAGUCAAGUUCAAAAAGUGAUGGUCAACAUAGAGCUUUUGAGAAAUCAAGGUGUCCCUCAAACUAAUAUUCCUAACUAUCUAAUCCACAACCCAAGAGCAUUUACUGGAGAGGCGGAUAGUUUUAAAGAGAUUGUAGAAAAGGUUAAAGGUAUGGGUUUCCAUCAUUUACAAACCACAUUUCUUAAAGCUGUAGUUGUAUUUACACAAAUUAGUGAAGUCAAUUGGAGAAAUAAGAUGGAUGUUUACAAGAGAUGGGGUUGGUCUGAGGAUCAAAUUCAAUCUGCAUUUAGGAAAAAUCCCGGUUGUAUGGUGACUUCUGAGAAGAAGAUUAUGGCGAUUAUGAAUUUCCUUGUGAAUGAAAUGGGUUAUGAUUCAUCAAUUAUUGCUGAAACCCCGGUAGUAUUUAAUUAUAGUCUGAAGGGGAGGAUUAUCCCAAGGUGUUCUGUCAUUAGCAUUUUAGUCUCCAGAGGUCUAAUCAAGGAAAAAAUUGCUAUAAGCACAUUCACAAAAAAAGCAGACAAGUAUUUUUUGGAUAAUUUUGUAAUAAAGUAUGAGCAACAAGUUCCUGAACUCAUGAAGAUAUUCCAAGGUCAGUUGAAUUACCAACAGCUGCUUCAGAACUGAAGGAUUUGGGAGAUGAAUGAGCAGUAACGGAUACAUGAAUUUCGAUUGCGAAACUAAAGGGUGUAUUCUUUGGGCAGUCCUGGAAGGGUAUGCCUCGAUUGAGAGAAAAGAAGCAUAUAUUGGUUCCUUGUAUUAGAGCCAAGGAUUGGGAAGCAGAUGAGGGUGGUGCUCCAGUGGUCGAUUUUGGUGUUACUGAGUACGGUAUUGCUGGUGUGAUCUCUAAUGAUCAAUGUGGUGGGGAUGCCCAAUGGGGAUUAAUCCUCAAAACUGGUGCGGAUUGGACUGAUGCAGGUGUUCCUAUGGUUGGAGUAAAUGCAGCUUGGGAGUCAAGUGGCCCCAUCAAUACAUGCUGUUGAUGCCAUAGUUAUGCCUCCAGCUGCAGGUUGGGAAUGAGAGGAGCAGUAAUGUCUUACAUUUUUUUGCCUGGUCUUUUCUCAUGUACUUGGAGUCUUAUACAGAACCUUGUUUUUCUCUGUUGAACUGUUUUGAUAGUUGAAAAGAUGUUUUGAUUUUUCUUAGCUCCUCCAUACCCUGAGAAUAGCUAAUGAGUGGUUUUGAGAAUUAAUCAGUCAGUGCUCCAUGCACCUCCUGAAGCAUCAACAUAAUUGUCAUUGCUGCUAGGAGAACUGAGCAGGCUGUUGAAAGAGUUUGGAAGGCAGAGAAAGCACAAGUCUGAUGAUCAUAUUGUCAUUGCUCCUAGACUGAUGUUGAGAGCAAGUCUCAGAAUAUUAAAGACGACAAUCAACAAUUUAUUCUUUCUAGAUAAAUCUUGCGUGAAUACUUAUAGAUCACGAAAAAACC